CAGCCGCCACGGGAAAACGGAGGGUGCAAGCGUUAUCCGGAUUUAUUGGGUUUAAAGGGUCCGUAGGCGGAUCUGUAAGUCAGUGGUGAAAUCUCACAGCUUAACUGUGAAACUGCCAUUGAUACUGCAGGUCUUGAGUAAAUUUGAAGUGGCUGGAAUAAGUAGUGUAGCGGUGAAAUGCAUAGAUAUUACUUAGAACACCAAUUGCGAAGGCAGGUCACUAAGAUUUAACUGACGCUGAUGGACGAAAGCGUGGGGAGCGAACAGGAUUAGAUACCCCCGUAGUCCCUGUCUCUUAUAC
Molecule: ribosomal RNA, 301 nt
Filed under: uncultured bacterium
Lineage: Bacteria
Description: partial 16S ribosomal RNA
Rfam family: Bacterial small subunit ribosomal RNA
Source: RNAcentral